This is a long non-coding RNA of Macaca fascicularis (crab-eating macaque), 2948 nucleotides long. Lineage: Eukaryota; Metazoa; Chordata; Mammalia; Primates; Cercopithecidae. The record is from Ensembl.
CAUUUGUCCAAAUCCUUUAUUAAAUUGGUAUGCUUAGAUUUUUCUCAUAUAAUCUUCAAAUGAAAUUAUAAGGGGCAUGAUUAUAAACAAUUAUCUAGCAAUGAUAUCUCUUAAGUCCUUAGAUGGCAUUUCCAAAAACAUGAGAUAACAUUUACUGUAAUUCAAGGUGAAAAAUGUUUCAUCAAAGACUGUGCCAAUGUCUGCCCAAAAUAAUGGGAGCAGCUACAAGGAACACAAAGACGCUCUCAGGGACCGUCAAAGGAAGUCUCAUUUGUGACAUCUCUGCAAUGUGCUGCGUUUCACUUUCGAAGACGUUUUCCGAGUUUGAUCAAAGUUCUCCGUCGUGCAUAGACCAUUUCGGUUUGGGACAUCUUGGGUGCACAGAGAGGAAGCCUUGUAGGUCAGGAGUUCUGGUAUUGCGAUUCUUUGCAUGAGUUACUGCUCAUGGGUGGCAUGACUUUCGAGGUCUCGGCUUCUUUGUCAGUGAUAGGAGAGACUGAGCCAGACCAGCAGGUUUCAGGCAAUCUCAGAAGUAUCUACAAAGGCACUGUGCAGCUUACCCUUGUACAGAGAAAGAUGAGAUCCUUGGGUGAGGAUCUGAAACCCUCGUGUGACCACCUCCCACGCCAGCUUAAUGAGAGCAGUCCUGAUACCAUGUUUUUACCUAUUGUAUUUCUUUGUGCAUCCUCAUUUGAACAAAGGAUGUUGCUGUUGAAAGAAGGCUGAGAACAAAUGUCUAUUAAGGAAGGUCUCAUGGAAAUACUUUGAUUCUAAGUUUAAGGACCAUGUAGUUACCCUGAAGUCAAUGGGACACAGAACACAUAUAGCACUGAGGAUAGUGACCUCAGUAAACAUUGCAAGAUUGAUCAUUAAUUGUCAUCUGUAGGAUGCAGUAAAUUCCUCUUCAAAGUUUAGCCUGUUCAUGUCUUUUAAAAUUUAAGAGGGAGAAAAUUGUUAAGUACAAUGAGUUCUCUGAGUUCCUCUCCAAAGAACCAAUGUGUCAGGAUGUUCGGCUGUUCUUUGUUCUCCACUUUAAAGUUUAACUUUCUCGUUCUUUACGUCUGUUUGCCCCUAGUUUCAGUAAACAACUCCCUCCUAGCCUCUAUCACCUGCUCUGUCCUUAGUCACCUGUUCUGUCCUUAGUCACCUGUUCUGUGCCUAGUCAUCCAUAGUCACCUGCUCUGUCCUUAGUCAUCCAUAGUCACCUGCUCUGUCCUUAGUCAUCCUUAGUCAUCUGCUCUGUCCUUAUUCACCUGUUUUGUCUUUAGUCACCUGCUCUGGUCUUAGUCAUUCUUAGUCACCUGCUCUGUCCUUAGUCACCUUUAGUCACCUGUUCUAUCCUUAGUCAUUGUUAGUCACCUGCUCUGUCCUUAGUCACCUACUCUAUCCUUAGUCAACCUUAGUCAUCUGCUCUGUCCUUAGUCACCUGUUCUGUCCUUAGUCAUCCAUAGUCACCUGUUGUGUCCUUAGUCACCCUUAGUCACCUGUUUGGUCGUUAGUCACCUGCUCUGUCCUUGGUCACCUGUUCUGUCCUUAGUCAUCCUUAGUAACCUGUUCUGUCCUUAGUCAUCCUUAGUCACCUGUUCUGUCCUUAGUCACCUGCUCUGUCCUUAGUCAUCCUUAGUCACCUGCUCUAUCCUUAAUCACCUGUUCUGUCCUUAGUCACCUGCUCUGUCCUUAGUCAUCCUUAGUUACCUAUUCUGUGCUUAGUCACCUGCUCUGUCCUUAGUCAUCCUUAGUCACCUAUUCUGUGCUUAGUCACCUGCUCUGUCCUUAGUCACCUGUUCUGUCCUUAGUCAUCCUUAGUCACCUGUUCUGUCCUUAGUCAUCCUUAGUCACCUGUUCUGUAACCGUCCUGCCACUCUGGCUCGCACCCCUGCUCUCUUUAAAAUAGCCAAUCGGAAUUAGCGUAGACUGUGCAGUCCAACCCUAGUAAAUAGGGGAAAGAUAUAGCAGUAGGGCUAGCUGUGUUAGGAAUAAGGCCCCCUUCCCCUCCCUUGUCCAGUGUGCUCUUGCCAUUGUUCCAUCUGUGAGAUGCACACUUCUAUAAAGGUAAAUUGCCUUGCUGAGAAAACUUUUGCCUGAGUGCUAAUUUCAGUUGGUGGCACCGAGCAUUUACUUCCAACAUCAUCCCAUCCAACAGCCUCACAGUUGCCCUGUUAUGGCUGAACGAGCUUGUCGUAUAGGCCUGGGGAGCAUGAACAGAUUCCAGAGUGAGACUGCCAGUGCCGAAAUGAGACUGUUAGUAGUUUUUAUUUAUUCCACUUUUGUUCUAGGUUUCACUGAGGAAACGCUGGUUUCAGGGUGCUGCUCAGAUUCCCCUGGGCUGUUAUCUGCGUAUUACUUUCUGUCUGAUGGGUCCUCUGGGUAGCUGACACUGACAUGGAGUUCAAAGAGAUGACCAAGGGUGACUCCUGGGAAAAAUAAAAGGGAGUAGAAGCAGGCUGAGAUAUGGAAAACCUUCCCGCCACUGUGGAGGUCUGACAGCUUAGACCACAUUACAGGUCACAUGUGGGCUCGGCUAACUCCACAGGGAGUUCUAGGGUGAGGAGCCUCAUGUUGGGCUGAAUCAGCCAGGCCCCUGUGCCUUUCUGUGCCCACUUCUUGGCUGGGGACUGCCAAGAAAGAGCAUGGCGUUAACUUGAAAGCCGAGGUCGAUCUUAAAUGAACUACCAGAUGCAGGUUGGAGAGUGUUAGCUACCUGCACUCAUCGCUGUGGAAGAGAUAGUUCUUUCUCUAAGGGAGAUCUGAGAGCUACUGCCCUGGGGCUGCCAUGUAGCUCUCACUCUCUCUCUUUUUUUAAAAAAUAGCUUUAUUGAUGUAUAAUUCACAUGCCUUAAAGCUUACCCAUUAAAAGUGUACUGUUCAGUGAUUUUAGCAAAUGUAUACAGUUGUGUAACCAAAAUCACAAUCCAGUUUUAGAAUGUUUCCAUCAUCCCAAAAUGUUU